Molecule: ribosomal RNA, 1241 nt
Filed under: metagenome
Description: bacterial LSU rRNA
Rfam family: Bacterial large subunit ribosomal RNA
Source: RNAcentral
UGAAUACGAGACGCUAAGGCGUCGAAGUAGUGUAUGUCAUACUUCCAAGAAAAGCUUGCACUGUCAUAGAUAAAAAACGCCUGUACCAUAACCGACACAGGUGGGUAGGUAGAGUAUACUAAGGGGCGCGAGAUAACUCUCUCUAAGGAACUCGGCAAAAUAACUCCGUAACUUCGGGAGAAGGAGUGCCUUAUUCGUAAGGUUGCAAUAACAAGAUCCAAGCAACUGUUUAUCAAAAACACAGGUCUCCGCUAAGUCGUAAGACGAUGUAUGGGGGCUGACGCCUGCCCAGUGCCAGAAGGUUAAAGAAGUUGGUUAGCAAUUGCGAAGCUGAUAACUGAAGCCCUGGUGAACGGCGGCCGUAACAAUAACGGUCCUAAGGUAGCGAAAUUCCUUGUCGGGUAAGUUCCGACCCGCACGAAAGGCGUAAUGAUUUGGAUACUGUCUCGGAGAGGGGCUCGGUGAAAUAGACUUGUCUGUGAAGAUGCGGACUACCUGCACCAGGACAGAAAGACCCUAUCAAGCUUUACUGUAACUUGAAAUUGAAAUUGGACUUUAUUCGCGCAGUAUAGGUGGGAGGCGUUGAUUAUAAUCUUGUGGGAUUAUUGGAGCCAUCAGUGAGAUACCACUCUUGUAAUGUUAGAUUUCUAACUUUGAAUCAUUAUCUGGUCAAAGAACAGUUUCAGGCGGGCAGUUUGACUGGGGCGGUCGCCUUCUAAACGGUAACGGAGGCGUACAAAGGUUUCCUCUGAACGGUUAGAAAUCGUAUCUAGAGUGUAAAGGCAUAAGGAAGCUUGACUGUGAGACCUACAAGUCGAGCAGGGACGAAAGUCGGUCUUAGUGAUCUGACGGUACUGAGUGGAAAGGCCGUCACUCAACGGAUAAAGGUUACUCUAGGAUAACAGGCUGAUCUCCCCCAAGAGUUCACAUCGACGGGGAGGUUUGGCACCUCGAUGUCGGCUCAUCGCAUCCUGGGGCGGUAGUACGUCCCAAGGGUUGGGCUGUUCGCCCAUGAAAGCGGUACGCGAGCUGGGUUCAGAACGUCGUGAGACAGUUCGGUCCAUAUCCGGUGUAGGCGUUAGAAUAUUGAGAGGAGCCUUCUUUAGUACGAGAGGACCGAGAAGGACAUACCUCUGGUGUACCAGUUAUCGUGCCAACGGUAACGCUGGGUAGCUAUGUAUGGAGUGGAUAACCGCUGAAAGCAUCUAAGUGGGAAGCCCACCUCAAGAUAAGUAUUCUCC